RNAcentral lists this long non-coding RNA (327 nucleotides) under Salvator merianae (Argentine black and white tegu). RNAcentral describes it as "lncRNA (ENSSMRG00000010313.1)". The record is from RNAcentral. Lineage: Eukaryota; Metazoa; Chordata; Lepidosauria; Squamata; Teiidae.
GAUAAUCCUGCAGGGCCCCUCAGCAGAAUAUCUGGUGAGCAAAUUCCAGAGGAUCCACACGUGUCUUCUGAAGAAAUGGAAAUAGAUAUCACUAUUAUGAGCCAUGAGGAUCUCUUGAAGACUACAGAGUUCCUGAAGGAUAGGCUGGUUUCAGAGAGGCAAGACAAACUUCUUCUUGAGGUGCAAAUACGCAAAGAGAUGGCCGAAGCAAUGUUUCAGCAGCUGAUGGAAACAGAAGACACCUGGAGAUACUGGAUUCAAUGAAAUGCAGAAAACCUCAGAAGUUUCCCAGAAACAGUGUGAAAAUAAAGAUCAGGUAUUUUUAAA